UGUUUCCUACGGGGCGCAGCAGUGAGGAAUAUUGGUCAAUGGGAGAGAUCCUGAACCAGCCAAGCCGCGUGAGGGAAGACGGCCCUAUGGGUUGUAAACCUCUUUUGUCGGAGAACAAAACCCGGGACGUGUCCCGGACUGCGUGUAUCCGAUGAAACAGCAUCGGCUAACUCCGUGCCAGCAGCCGCGGUAAUACGGAGGAUGCGCUCGUUAUCCGGAUUUAUUGGGUUUAA
This 233-nucleotide ribosomal RNA is filed under the name uncultured bacterium. RNAcentral's name for it is "partial 16S ribosomal RNA". It matches the Rfam family "Bacterial small subunit ribosomal RNA", at positions 333 to 563 of the family's 1533-position model. The record is from RNAcentral.